RNAcentral lists this transfer RNA (72 nucleotides) under Salmo salar (Atlantic salmon). It matches the Rfam family "tRNA". Rfam says of the family: Transfer RNA (tRNA) molecules are approximately 80 nucleotides in length. Lineage: Eukaryota; Metazoa; Chordata; Actinopteri; Salmoniformes; Salmonidae. The record is from Rfam by way of RNAcentral.
GGCUCGUUGGUCUAGGGGUAUGAUUCUUGCUUUGGGUGCAAGAGGUCCCCGGUUCAAAUCUCGGACGAGCCC